CAGACAAUCACGUCUGAUUUUCAUGAGUGAUCUGGUCACCACAAGCUCUUUCCACUGCCUUGUGGCUCCACAGACAGUGUUCAGCUCCUCAGCUUUGUGCUCAAAUACAAGAAUAUUUCAGUGUUGUAGUCUUCAUGAAAAUCAUAGAAAAAUCAUUGAAAAGCAUUCCAGAGCACUUCAUCCAUUUACUACUUAAGUAGGAAAGCCUUGGAUUGAUAACAUUCACAAAUGAAAUACUUUUCUAACAUGGAACUUUCUACAGAUAUGAAUAAUGCAUCAUCAACGAUCACUUGCGUAAGAGGAGAUUCAAUAAAUAACAAGGCUGCUCCAAAUAUUGUGGAACGGCACAGAAAAAGUCACAUUUGGCAUGUCAUAACCAGCUUUAUAUUAGUCUAUUUACAGUGCUGCAGGAGAUUUUUGCAGAGGUGACAAACUGUCCCUAAGAAAGUUGUCUGGGUAAAAAACGUUGCCUGUAGAGCAGGGGUCAGGGUGUGAUGCAGUAGCAAAUAGAAAAGAAUUGCAGCUCAGUUCCAGAUGCCCCAUUCAGUGAUUGAGAAACUAUCAAGAAUCUAGAGCAGACUAACCUGAAUACAAGCCUGCAGGAAAAUCUGCACACUAGCAGAUUCUAUCAGCUUCCAAAUAGUAGAAAAUGUUGUGCUGAUGCUGUUUUUUCUAUAGCCGACUAAUCCCAGGGUUAAAUAUUAACUUAAUUUAUAAUUAACUAUAAAUGUCACAUUGACAAAAGCCAUGGAUGUUAUCCCACGGCUGCUUAUCAGUGAACAGGUAGUGUGUCUCUGCACAAGCCUGCUAACUGCCGUCUACGAGUUAAAAGCAAGACUGACAUUAGAAAGAAGGAUGACCCCGUCCUCCAAUACAAACGUAUUCAGCAGUAAUGUUCCUCAGUCCCGUGCAUUCAGCCCCAGUUUGUGCUCUCAGCAGCUCAGCCAGCAGGUUCCACCUUCCAGGAGUUUUCAGGAACUUUACACAAUCAAUAUUUUUCUUUAUAUUUGGUGCUAAAACACUUCCCACUAUGGAAUUCACAGCCUGGCCACUGGUGCUAAUUUUAUGACUGAGCUGAGCUUCUGAGCUACUCAUUCAGCAAGUCUUUUAUCCCCAUACUACCUAUUAUCCCGUUUUUCCUUGGAAUACCUAUAGUGUCUUCCCAGGAUGCUGAAAUGUUUAUCCCUGCAGAAAACCCAACAAGGCAGAAGAGAGCAGUAAGGAAUGUACAAACUGGCUAUGAGUAUGCUCCAGCUGGAAAACACAGGUUAUAUUUUAUUAUGGUGCCCACAGAGGUCAUGUGAUCAAAGAAAAUGUUUGUGCAAGUCUGUGAUUGGAUCAAUAAAUUAAGAACAGAAAGCUCAGUGGCCUAAUAAACAGAUCCAGAAUCCCAUUAGCUUAGCCUUCCCAGAGUGAAGAUUUCCAAAAUGUAGUUUCCUUUAUAUAGUAAUGUUUCACUCCAACACUCAUCUGAAGGUGCUGUAUUGUAAAAAGCAAAAAUAUUAUGGAGAAGUGCAAUGAUCCCCCAUGAGCAGCAAGAGUGGGGAGGAAGAACUCCUUUUGAACAGGAGGAACGUUCUGGGAGAAGCAGGAGCAACCGUUUGCUGCAACUGAUUGGGGGUGAGAGAAAAAAAGGAGCACAGCGAGACCACGAACAGGACAAGGGAAGGACUGACAGCAAAACUUGGAUGAGGCAGCUUCAGUAUAAAAAUGUCCUCACUGCCUUUGAUAAACAUACACAACCCUGGCAGGAAAUGAGGUAAAGCUGCUUUAGGGCCUUCUUUUCCAAGGUGUCUUCCUACAGAGGUAAACACACUGAUAAAAAAAAUACAAUAAAUGAGAGAAAGGAGGAGGGAGGGUUUGUGCCUCCCGGUCCAUGGCCUUCAGUUCCUCCUGCAGCCGUCUCUCCAGCUCUUCAGUUC
This is a long non-coding RNA of Oreochromis aureus, 1922 nucleotides long. NCBI's taxonomy places the organism in Eukaryota, Metazoa, Chordata, Actinopteri, Cichliformes, Cichlidae. The record is from Ensembl.